This is a long non-coding RNA of Equus caballus (horse), 1626 nucleotides long. The record is from Ensembl. Lineage: Eukaryota; Metazoa; Chordata; Mammalia; Perissodactyla; Equidae.
CCUGAACCAAUCACUGUGGCCCAGAGAUGGAAUAUGCCGAUUGGUCAAGCUUAGGUCAUAGUUCCCCCUCUGGAACUGGCUUCUCUGGAACCACAGGGUUCCCAAAAGGGAUGUGGGAAUGCAGGGAGGGGAAAUAUUGUGUUGGGGAUUUUCCCCAUUCACUCUUCCGAGAGCAUAAAGUUUCUGCCCCAGGAGGAGAGCGGAACUAAAACUAAAAUUUCCAGCGUUUUAUAAUUCCCAGAAUAAUAGCCAUUAGCAUAGUUAAAGACAAUGUUAAAGAGUACAUAGGAGUGGCCUGGCAGAACUAAAUACCCCUGCAGUAGGAAAGAGGAGAGAAGGACAGACAGGAGGUAUCGUGGCAUCACUGGUACAGAGCGGGGGCAGUGGAAAGAGGCGAGUACCAGCUCUGGGAUCCUGUGAACUGGGCAGAGUGGGUGAGAUGGAAUCCACGAUGCACUUAGCAGACUGCAGGUACCCAGCGGAGGUUGGCAGGCUUCACACUGCCCACACCUGAAGAGCCCUCUCAUUUGACAUCCCAAAUCCCCGGGCCACUCGUCGCUGUGCCUGGAGGUUGAGGUGAUUUUUCAGCUGCAUAGUGAAGCUUUUCCACAGGGCGAGACCCCCGGCCCCAGGCCCUUGCCUCUUUGGUACAGGUGACCUCUGGAGCCCACACAAUGGAUGUGAUGCUGUGAACUUGCUGUUCGCCAGCUGUCUGGAAUCAGACCAACCCAGCAGGCCUAUUCUCACCUCACAUGCUAGGACUCGUGACACUGAAGUGCAGGACUCUCUCAAGUGCUCUGGCAACUUCUCCAAGGACAUGCAAAGUGCCACAGUCCUCUGGGCCUAUAGCCUGACCUGAAGCAUGCGUUUCUGCAGAGCUUCACGGAAAGGGCAUCUCUGAUGAUGGGAAUGCAGCAGUGUGACUGUGUGCUCAUAAAGUAUGGGCCAUCACAGGGUCUUUCCUCAAGCAUCCUUUCUAUUCUUGUGAGAUGAGUAGGGUGGGGUCAAGAUGAUCCCCUACUGGAGGAAACCCCGUGAUUUCAGGGAAGAAGGGCCUAGAGAGACCUGGAGGUGCAUGGGACUCUGAGCACUGAGAAGGGAACAGAGGGGUAGGAGUCUCAGUAGUUCUCAGGGUCUUAGAUGAGACGUGGAAGGAAAGACCACGAGGCUGGAUACAGAGUGGAUUCUGCCAUGGAGAACACGGGACCUGCGGUUAUUGCUACAGGUGAGUGGACAGACAGGGGCGCCCACGGCCCGGGGGCCUGCCUGGGCCUAGCUCUGACUCUGUGGGGACCACUGGAUCCUGGAUCAUCGGAGCCACAGGGGCUAGAGAGCCCAUGGCAUCCAACCCAUUACACUGAAAGGAAGACCGAGGUCUGGAGGAGAAAAGGGCAUGUCCUGGGUCACCUGGUGUAUCAAGGUAGGGUCCAGUCUCCAACCAGGGUCCAGAGCCUUUCCCGUCCAGGCACAGGCAGGUCAAAUGCAGCAGACAGUGCUCUAUCUGGGGCUGGGGACAGGGAAGGGCCUCUAGAGAGACCAUGUGGUGCCCCUGCUUUAUUUCUCAGAUAAUGAAAUGAGUGUCGGAGAGGGGCAGGGACUCGCCUGUGGUCAGACAGCCAGUGAGCU